Molecule: ribosomal RNA, 250 nt
Filed under: uncultured bacterium
Lineage: Bacteria
Description: partial 16S ribosomal RNA
Rfam family: Bacterial small subunit ribosomal RNA
Source: RNAcentral
UACGGAGGGUGCAAGCGUUAAUCGGAAUCACUGGGCGUAAAGCGCACGUAGGCUGUUUGGUAAGUCAGGGGUGAAAUCCCGCGGCUCAACCGCGGAAUUGCCCUUGAUACUGCUGGACUUGAGUUCGGGAGAGGGUGGCGGAAUUCCAGGUGUAGGAGUGAAAUCCGUAGAUAUCUGGAGGAACAUCAGUGGCGAAGGCGGCCACCUGGACCGAUACUGACGCUGAGGUGCGAAAGCGUGGGGAGCAAAC